This is a long non-coding RNA of Peromyscus maniculatus bairdii (prairie deer mouse), 1546 nucleotides long. RefSeq lists it as uncharacterized. NCBI's taxonomy places the organism in Eukaryota, Metazoa, Chordata, Mammalia, Rodentia, Cricetidae. The record is from RefSeq and is a predicted model, not a curated record.
GCUACUGCCAUCCACAUUUUACCGAUGAGGAACUGACAUUUGAAAACAGUAAGGAAACGGAAGGCAGGACCGUAUAACCAAAGUCUGUGCAGGAACUUCCUGCUGGCCCAGCAGAGUCUCAGGUCUCCACGGGCAUCUCCAGAGGACGGCAAGCGUAUUUGAUGGCGGACUUCUGCAAUCUGUCUGGAGUGUUACCACAUGCCAGGCAGCUCCUAGAACGUUUCCCUCUCUCCCACUAGCACGCUCAUGAAAGGAUGAGAGUGAAACAGCACAUAAUGGCUUAUUAAGAAACUGGUUUUACUUUGAGGACCCUCUGAAAAGGGUUUCAGAAUUCCCCACGCAUCUCUUGGCCACACUCUGAGAAUCACUGGCUUGAGGAGCGCAAGCCCUCUUAGCAACCAACAGAGUUGAACAGCUCAGGAUGCCGCCACCCCACAACCAAGCACUAUAGUGGAGUGUGCCUUUCAUCCCCACACCAGCCAUUCUCUGUGCCUCAAACUCGGUGUAGCCUAACCAGCAUUUCUUCAGCACCGGCCAGGAAUGUGACAGACAAUAUACUGAGAAGACAGAAAUAUCAAAUGAGUCUUGACUCUCGAAAGACUCACACUUAGUCAGGAAGACGCCGUAACCAGAGAGAAUAAGGAGAGCCGGCUCGUAAGACGUGUGCAUCCGGCAGCAUGAAUGACAGAACAACCACCCAGUGCUGGCUUGAACAAGAAGGGGCAAUGCUGGCUCUCUAAACUAGCAACACUACCAGAACAUCAGGAGCAUCUCGAUGCUGCUUUUAUCCAUUUGUCUCCUCCGUCUGCCUCAGACUGUCUGUCCUUUUCUGCUAGGCUGCACACCCAACAGACAGAGCUUCAUCUCUAGCUUUGACUUUGUCCAUCCAUGACAGGCACCAGCAGGAGAUGGGAAGAACACCCAGAGAAAAGGCUAGAUCAUUGGCUUCCCCCAAGCCCAUCCCAUUUCCUCCUUGCCUUAUACCUGACUGUCUGCAUUCCACAAUAGCCAGUGGACCUCGUGGGUCAACUCUUGCCUGUCUCUAGUAACACUGCUGUCUCCCCCUGCAGGUCUGAGGAUUGCUAAUAGCUCCCCACCACUGGUGGUCACCAGGUGCCUCCCUGUGCUUCCUCAUUCCUUUCAUCCUUUGUGAAUAAUCCCAAAUCAUUGCUCCUUCAAGUGUGCUUCUGAGUGUCCCAUCUUGUAGUACAGCUGUUUUCUCUGGGUUUAAUAUAUGAUCAACACUAUCCUGAAGCAGAGACCUUUGCCCACAGUCACGGCAACAAAAUGAACAUGACUAGACAGCAGAGAGCUAAGUCUAUGGUAAUGAGGCUGUUAACAUUUCCUCUUGAAGAAGCAGAGAGAGGGUCACAAAAUCUUCACAAGACCUUCCCCUGAGAUUUCAAUCAGCACUCCUUCCCGCUCCAGCUGAACACAACCAACGAUGUAAAAGGUAACAACUUGACGGGGAAGACAGGACCUCUCUACAGUGCGGCUGCUGUGAGUCCUCCAUGCCCCUGUAAGGAAAUCCAAUAAACCCCUCUGU